CUAAAUCAACAUUUUAAUCAUUUUUACUUCAAACAUUUACUGGACUGAUUUAAAUAUUAAAAUCCCUCCUUUCUAAUCCUCUGCUGUACGUUCAAACCUGAGGCCUUAAAUAGAAACACACAAGUAUCUGAUUGAAGGAACUUCUGCAGAGUCCUGGUUCCAGAACAUGAUGAUAGAAUUAUAGACAAACUUUAACAAAAGCUGCCUGAGAGUUUACAGGUUUUUAUGUUAGAUUUCUUCAGUAAUUUAAUGAGAGUCAUCAGCAAAAAUCAAGUGUUCAUUUGAUGAACUUCAUUUCCUAAAACAUCCAGAAUUGGAGCUCAUAUCUUUGCAGCUGUAAAGUUUCUGCUCCUUCAAAAUUCACAACACAAUGAAUGAAUUCCUAAAACACUCUCAAUGCUGGAGAGCGUUUGUGAUGCUGAAGCAGUGAGCAGGUUUUCUGUUUCUUCUCUGGAGAUGCACAAUGAGGGACGUCUGCAGAGACUGAGAAAGAGUCUCACCACAUCCUGACAUGAGGAGAAAGACUUUAUUGAAGACUACAAUGAGAAAAACUAUCAGACAGCAGACGGCUGCAUUCAAGUCUGUAGCUGCUGAAUUCAUGGAUGAAUCAUCUGGCACUAGAGAGGAAGACCAUCAAACAUCCACGUCAGCUGAUAGAGGUCCAAGAGUCUCACCCAACAAACAACCUCUGUAGGUUGUUUAAUAUUUUCAGCUGAACUAAAGACAGACUUUGUGAUUUUUCUGCUCACAUGUUGUGUUGUUGUAAACUUCCUCUUUCAAAUAAAUAGCCUCCUAACCCCCUGGAAACCAGCAUUUGUCCUGUUGUUGUGUUGCUCCUCGGUGACCCUAGACAGCCGGGUUGUAAUGUUUUUGGAGCAACACACCAUAUUAUGACGUUUUUACAAUGAUGGUUCUACUAUGGAACCAGUUUGACAUGUUCAGGUGUUCUUUGUGUGAAAACUCAGAGAUUUCAGGGAUCAGAAGGUGGUUUUCAACUUUCUUUGUUAACUUUCUGCUUCAACUUUAAACUAAAUUUCCUUCACUAAGCCAGCCCUCUGGACUUCCAGUAAGCUGUGUUCCUAUUGGCUGUCCAGGUGGCUGCUUGGUGUUAUCAGGAACACCUGAGCAGCUCAGUGUCUUCCUGCUUUAUUUAGCUGCAGACAAACAUUUCCUCUGUUUCUCUUCACCAGUGAACUGGGUUUGGUUCCAUUGCUUUAGUUUGUUCUUUAGGUGUUGGUUUGCAGCUUCCAGCAGUAAAAUCGUCUUUAAUGUGUUUCUUGGUGUGUUUUAGGGCUUUGUACUGGAUAGUUGUCUUGGUAAAUGAGGUUCUUUAGCCACAGUCAGCACAUGGUGUUAAUGUUGCAGUGAUUAGUGGAUUUGGUGCAGCUGAGUUGUGUCUUUAUCUUGGCUGUAGUGAGUCUUCAGAGGUUUUUGGUCAGACACAUUCUGUAUUCUUGUUUGAGAACCAGCGUUGGUUGUCCAGAAGGUAAGAGUUCCUGUCCUGAUUCUCUGUUCUCAGAGGUUCUCUGGUAGGCUGCAGGAGACUUUAGUGUUUGGGUUGUGCU
Long non-coding RNA from Amphiprion ocellaris (clown anemonefish), 1565 nucleotides. The record is from Ensembl. NCBI's taxonomy places the organism in Eukaryota, Metazoa, Chordata, Actinopteri, Pomacentridae.